Molecule: long non-coding RNA, 3481 nt
Organism: Oncorhynchus tshawytscha (Chinook salmon)
Lineage: Eukaryota; Metazoa; Chordata; Actinopteri; Salmoniformes; Salmonidae
Source: Ensembl
CGCCGUUUUACCACCGAUACUGAUACAGUGGUGAACCGCCGUUUUACCACCGAUACUGAUACAGUGGUGAACCGCCGUUUUACCAUGUGAUCUUUUCAUUAGUAGAACUCACUAAUGAGUCUUCCUUGAUGUUUCACCUCUUAAAGUGGCAGAAAGCUCAGCACCCAUAUUUACAACUUAUUACAACAGCACUACUAAAGUCUUUCAUGUUAAAUCAAAUAGAUCUUAGCUAAUCAAUGGUGAUUAGCUAACGGACGUCACAUUGUGUUUCAGGUGUGUAUUUCAUGUUUUAAUUGAUUCCCUUAUGUUUAUAUUAUUCAUUAAUAUAUGAGUAAUUCACUUAAUAAUUGUUGAGUACACAUUUUUGACUGACUGACUUGAUGGUCUCACAUCAGAACCAACUCAGAACCCACGAUAAAGAACUUUACUGAAUUUGAAAAUUGCCGUAUGACUUUUGUGGCAAAGGGUAUUUCUGCUGUAAACGAGCAACAUUCACUGUAUGUCACCAUUAAAGAGGUUGUGCUGAUCUAUUCACUGCUCUCCAUGUUGAGUAUUCAUGUUAUAUUACUGUUAGUAUUCCAUGUUGGUAUUAUCAUUUAUUUCAUAUCAAUUUCACAUAAUACAGGAAUGUAACAUUGCAUUUGUCAUACUGUAGCUAUAGGUACACAAACUGUAGGUCCUGAAAAAAAGAUGUCUUUGUAAAUAUCCAUGAGAAAAACAGCUUGAUGGGUAAAAGAAAGAAUCACACAUCUGUAUCCACCAAGAAAAUGUACCUGGUGCAUCUCAUGAUUGGGACUCAAAAUGACUUCAUCAAUGUUGUCCCGAUGAACUUCAUUUGAAAUGUUAAUAGAUGGCUUGUGUCUCUCUGUCGGUAACUUUUCUGAUCAUCACUAAUUCAAAAGAAAGCGUUGAGAAUAAACAGUAUAUUGUGGAACAGGUAUACAGGAGGCCUAGUCAGCCCCUUUAUGGUGUAAAUGAAAGUGCUCAUGAAAUGUAUCAUUCUCUGCACACAUGUUCAAAGCAUAUAAAAAAGAGCAUUUUCUGAGUUACCGAAUAGCCAAUUUCCCCCUAUUUUGUUUGUUUUUGUAUUAAGGCAAACCCGGGACUUUCUCAAGGCUGCACAGACUCAUCAUGCCUUUCACCUAACAUGCCUGCUGCUCCACCCCUCCUGGUGACAUCCCAGUAACUGGUUGCCAUUUUGAAAGGGAUACAUUUGAGCUUCACUUCAUUUGUGCUUCACUCCUUCAAAGAGAUGUCUUUUGUUCUGCCUUCAUCCUCACCUAAGUCUUAAAAAAAAGAAUAUGCUGUAUGUCCACCAACAGCCUCUGUGAACUGGUCCUCUUUACACCUCCUUCUUUCUCCAGCUUCUCAAAGCAAUCUCCGCAUAGAAUUGUGACCCAUUAGUUUUUUAUGCGGUUGCUUUGUGAUAAAGUUCACCAUGACCUCCUGGUACAGUUGCCUACCAUCUACAGACACCUGACCACUGUAUAAACAUGAGGAAACAGGAGACCAGGAGAGCUGGCAGAGACACAAUACAGUGCCCUUCUUGUUGCUAUAUGCUCUUCUAAACAAAGCAAGACCAAGCGCACAGAGAGACAGUCCACUCUCAAACCUUCAACAAACCGACUGCUGAAUCACGGAAUGUUCGAUGACGGAUUUACAACUUCUAGUUCAGAACUGUAGCCUUGAUCUCACCGUUGUUUGUGUUUGGGUCACGAUACUGUACAAGCUGUUUCCCUUGACAGCAUCUGUCCUUUCCCUGUAUGGAUCCUAAAGGAGGAAUUAGUGAACUGGCUAGAAAACAAUAAAAAGAGAAUUAUGCAUAUUUGCUGAUACACAGUGCUUGCUUAUGUCUUAUUGUUUGUUUGUGCAGGAUGAUUGGAGGUGCAUACAGCUGUAGGAUAUUAAUUUGAUCACCCUGCUGCAGGAGAACUUUACUGCAAUGCAGGACAUUUUCAACGUGGAGUGUAUUUGAGGUUUAAAAAGGCUUCUGAAGAAAUGUAAACAUUUCAGACUGGAUUUUCUCAUUAUGAAAAAUGUAUCAACCCCUACAAAAAUGUCCAUUCAUUAUAAUCCACAUAAUAAUUCACAUUUCCUGUUGCUGCAGGAUUAUUUUUCUGUUAUAGCAAUCUGGCUCAAAUGAAGUUCCUACAUCUGUAUGGAGUAGUGUGUCUUACCAUUCCGUUUGUAAUGUUUGCAUCGUCUAGGCACCGCUCCUCCCCUACAAUAGCAAAUCAACUAACAAGGGGUUACAGAAAUGUAAGAGUAUCUGUGUAUUUUCACAGCUUUGAGUUCAGUUGAUUUGUGAUUCUGUAAAACUGGGAUUUUAUCCUUACAAUGAGACGCACAUAGCAAUUAUAAAAUUGGAGCUUGGAUUAUUGUAAAUGUUGUGGAAUUAUUUUAGUAAAUUUGCAUUUCUCUGUUUACUUUUACAGGUGUAUCAAAGCAGCUUCCCAGUCUUGCUUCUACUCAUGAAAUAACAUAUUUUGUAAGGUACAUCUAAUCAACAUUAAAAUGGCAUAUUAAUAUAUUCACCAUGUAUGCGUGUAUGAUGAGAUGUUGCAAAUUCUGCUAGAGACGCCUUCUUUAUAGUAAAGCUAUCUCUUUUUCUCUAACUCCUGACUUCUCUCCUGACUUCUCUCGUGACUUCUCUCCUGACUUCUCUCCUGACUUCUCUCCUGACUUCUCUCCUGACUUCUCUCCUGACUUCUCUCUUUCUAUUGUUUUGAUUAUAUUAGACUACUGUUCUGUUAGAUAUCCAGAAAACGAAGAGCAAUAUAUUUCCUGAGUGUACAUUUUAAACAUAUAUUAAAAACAAUAUUUUUGUACAUUGACUAUUGCAUUGAGUAUUUGUAAUAAAACGUAUUGACUGAAAUUCACUCAAUGUUUACUGAUUAUAUGUGUGCUUCGGGCAAUAGCCUAUGUUUUAUUACAAAUACUCAACACAACCUCCAAAAGGAAUAAGUGCAAAUACUGGACAAAAAUAUAAACGCAACAUGUAAAGUAUUGAUCCCAUGUUUCAUGAGCUCAAAUAAAAGCUCAGAAAUCCCAGGAAUUUUCCAUAUUCACAAAAAGCUUUUCUCUCUCCAUGUCAUCCCCUGACCAUAGACAGCAUUUUUAUUCUCUAUUUUGAUUAGGUCGGGGUGUGACUAGGGGGGGUGUUCCUAUCUAAGUGUUUUAUUUCUAUGUUGGCCUGGUAUGGUUCCCAAUCAGAGGCAGCUGUUUAUUGUUGUCUCUGAUUGGGGAUCAUAUUUAGGCAGCCAUUUCCCCACUGUGUUUUGUGGGAUCUUGUUUUGAGUUAGUGCAUGUGGCACCUCUAAUGUCACGGUUCGUUGUUUGUUUCUUUUUGUUUGGAAGGUUCGCAUAAAUAAAUAUGUGGAACUUUAAUCACGCUGCGCCUUGGUCCGUCUCGCCACACAACCGUGACAGAAGAUCCCACCACAACAGGACCAAGCAGCGUGCCCAGGAGGAGAAGGUAUCC